Hemiscyllium ocellatum (epaulette shark) is the source of this 844-nucleotide long non-coding RNA. RefSeq lists it as uncharacterized. Lineage: Eukaryota; Metazoa; Chordata; Chondrichthyes; Orectolobiformes; Hemiscylliidae. The transcript is spliced from 4 exons. The record is from RefSeq and is a predicted model, not a curated record.
GCAGUGGGCGGCGGAGGUAUAGCCUCUCCCUCUCAGUCUGGAGGCUAAUUUGAUGGCAACAAACAGAGAGAGAGAGAGAGAGCAAAGUCUCCAAGGAACCGAAAGAUCCUCUGCUUAAUGGGAUGGGAGCAGUGACCACCCAUGCAGUGAAACCCCAGGAUCUCGAUAAUAUUUGGUUGCAGACGAUUGAAUGUAUUUGGCAGGUUUUUCAUUUGAAUUCUACAUGCAGCCCCUGUGCCCAAUCUCCUGAGCAGUCCUGAAAAUGUUGCCUCAGGAUGAGAACAGAUCAACCAAGAGCUGACAAGAAUCCUACUUCGACCAUGACACUGUGCAGUGAAUGUGAGCAGUCUCUGUGUUGCAUUAAGUACAAACUGAGACAAGGACCAGUGAGAGGCAAAACUCUGGGAACAUCUUGAUGUCUUAAAGAGAGAUUGUUCUAUACAAGGAAGUCUGAUUGUCAUCACUUGAAAAUGCUAGGACUCUUUCUGUGCUGAAUGAUGAAUGCCAGCCAACUCCUGUCUUGCUGUGAUUGUAGGGGUUCCUGGCAUCGUGAUUUAAUAAUUAAAUAAAAGUGAAAAAUCACAUUGCCAGGGAUUACCACACAGUUGCAAGCACAUGCCAGCUAUGUUACUGAGAACUCUGACCAGGACAGCACGCUUGAAGAGUAAUAUCUUCCCAUUGUAUGAGUCACAGGGGCUGAAGUCAUUAGCUUCUUGUUGUUGUCGUCCAGUGCUUAGCAGGGACUAAGUAUUAUUUUUACAUUUUUGGUUUUAAAAGGUAUAGACAAAUUCAAUUCUGUAUCUAGGUGAGAGUCAGGUCAAUAUUCUGGAAAGGAUAUUAAACU